This 321-nucleotide unclassified non-coding RNA is filed under the name uncultured fungus. RNAcentral describes it as "partial contains small subunit ribosomal RNA, internal transcribed spacer 1, and 5.8S ribosomal RNA". The stretch from base 1 to 73 matches the Rfam family "Eukaryotic small subunit ribosomal RNA", at positions 1759 to 1831 of the family's 1831-position model. Lineage: Eukaryota; Fungi. The record is from RNAcentral.
GCAAACUUGGUCAUUUAGAGGAAGUAAAAGUCGUAACAAGGUUUCCGUAGGUGAACCUGCGGAAGGAUCAUUAAUGAGCCGUUGGAGCACUUGUGUUCCAAUGUGGCCCAUCCUUGUUGAUUGUACCUGUUGCUUUGGUCGUAUGUUGGCCCGGUGGUUUGUAAUAGCCGCCGGGUUGACGACGACCAGAGGGCACCGCUUACAUGCGGUGUGUUUUGUCAACCCUUCAGUAUAAUCUUGUGGUCUGAGAUUGUUAUAGCAUAAUGAACUAAAACUUUCAACAACGGAUCUCUUGGUUCCGACAUCGAUGAAGAACGCAGC